RNAcentral lists this ribosomal RNA (484 nucleotides) under uncultured bacterium. RNAcentral's name for it is "bacterial SSU rRNA". It matches the Rfam family "Bacterial small subunit ribosomal RNA", at positions 28 to 507 of the family's 1533-position model. The record is from RNAcentral.
GAUGAACGCUAGCGGCAGGCCUAACACAUGCAAGUCGAGGGGCAUCGCGGUGCAGCAAUGCACUGGCGGCGACCGGCGUACGGGUGCGUAACGCGUAUGCAACCUGCCCCGCACCGGGGGAUAGCCCGCCGAAAGGCGGAUUAAUACCCCAUGGUCCCGGGGGCCCGCAUGGGCUACCGGGUAAAGCCUUGGCGGUGCGGGAUGGGCAUGCGUGCCAUUAGCUGGCUGGUGGGGUAACGGCCCACCAGGGCGACGAUGGCUAGGGGGUCUGAGAGGAUGGUCCCCCACACUGGUACUGAGACACGGACCAGACUCCUACGGGAGGCAGCAGUGAGGAAUAUUGGUCAAUGGGCGGAAGCCUGAACCAGCCAUGCCGCGUGCGGGAUGAAGGCCCUACGGGUUGUAAACCGCUUUUCCCCGGGAAGAAUAACCCCGACGCGUCGGGGAUGCUGGUACCGGGGAAUAAGGAUCGGCUAACUCCGUG